RNAcentral lists this ribosomal RNA (465 nucleotides) under Vreelandella stevensii. Its description in RNAcentral is "partial 16S ribosomal RNA". It matches the Rfam family "Bacterial small subunit ribosomal RNA", at positions 338 to 795 of the family's 1533-position model. The record is from RNAcentral. Lineage: Bacteria; Pseudomonadati; Pseudomonadota; Gammaproteobacteria; Oceanospirillales; Halomonadaceae.
CCUACGGGAGGCUGCAGUGGGGAAUAUUGGACAAUGGGGGGAACCCUGAUCCAGCCAUGCCGCGUGUGUGAAGAAGGCCCUCGGGUUGUAAAGCACUUUCAGUGAGGAAGAACGCCUGGUGGUUAAUACCCAUCAGGAAAGACAUCACUCACAGAAGAAGCACCGGCUAACUCCGUGCCAGCAGCCGCGGUAAUACGGAGGGUGCGAGCGUUAAUCGGAAUUACUGGGCGUAAAGCGCGCGUAGGUGGCUUGAUAAGCCGGUUGUGAAAGCCCCGGGCUCAACCUGGGAACGGCAUCCGGAACUGUCAAGCUAGAGUGCAGGAGAGGAAGGUAGAAUUCCCGGUGUAGCGGUGAAAUGCGUAGAGAUCGGGAGGAAUACCAGUGGCGAAGGCGGCCUUCUGGACUGACAAUGACACUGAGGUGCGAAAGCGUGGGUAGCAAACAGGAUUAGAUACCCCAGUAGUC